ACUCCUACGGGAGGCAGCAGUGAGGAAUAUUGGUCAAUGGGCGAGAGCCUGAACCAGCCAAGUCGCGUGAAGGAAGAGGGAUCUAUGGUUCGUAAACUUCUUUUGCAGGGGAAUAAAGUGCGGGACGUGUCCUGUUUUGUAUGUACCCUGAGAAUAAGGAUCGGCUAACUCCGUGCCAGCAGCCGCGGUAAUACGGAGGAUCCGAGCGUUAUCCGGAUUUAUUGGGUUUAAAGGGUGCGUAGGUGGUUUGAUAAGUCAGCGGUGAAAGUUUGCAGCUUAACUGCAAAAAUGCCGUUGAAACUGUCGGACUUGAGUGUAAAUGAGGUAGGCGGAAUGCGUGGUGUAGCGGUGAAAUGCAUAGAUAUCACGCAGAACUCCGAUUGCGAAGGCAGCUUACUAAGCUACAACUGACACUGAAGCACGAAAGCGUGGGGAUCAAACAGGAUUAGAUACCCUGGUAGUC
This 463-nucleotide ribosomal RNA is filed under the name uncultured bacterium. RNAcentral describes it as "bacterial SSU rRNA". It matches the Rfam family "Bacterial small subunit ribosomal RNA", at positions 335 to 795 of the family's 1533-position model. The record is from RNAcentral.